This 597-nucleotide ribosomal RNA is filed under the name uncultured bacterium. Its description in RNAcentral is "bacterial SSU rRNA". It matches the Rfam family "Bacterial small subunit ribosomal RNA", at positions 338 to 950 of the family's 1533-position model. The record is from RNAcentral.
CCUACGGGAGGCAGCAGUGGGGAAUCUUGCGCAAUGGGCGAAAGCCUGACGCAGCAACGCCGCGUGCGGGAAGAAGGCUUUCGGGCUGUAAACCGCUUUCAGCAGGAACGAAAAUGACGGUACCUGCAGAAGAAGGAGCGGCCAACUAUGUGCCAGCAGCCGCGGUGAUACAUAGGCUUCAAGCGUUGUCCGGAUUUAUUGGGCGUAAAGAGUUCGUAGGCGGUCAAGUAAGUCGGGUGUGAAAAUUCUGGGCUCAACCCAGAGACGCCACCCGAUACUGCUUAACUUGAGUUCGAUAGGGGAGUGGGGAAUUCCUAGUGUAGCGGUGAAAUGCGCAGAUAUUAGGAGGAACACCGGUGGCGAAGGCGCCACUCUGGAUCGAUACUGACGCUGAGGAACGAAAGCAUGGGUAGCAAACAGGAUUAGAUACCCUGGUAGUCCAUGCCGUAAACGGUGGGCACUAGGUGUGGGUUUCCUAUUAACGAAAUCCGCGCCGUCGCUAACGCAUUAAGUNCCCCGCCUGGGGAGGUACGGUCGCGAGACUAAACUACAAGAAGUAGACGCGNGAGACGUGCGACGACGACGACGAGGGAGAGG